Carassius auratus (goldfish) is the source of this 1335-nucleotide long non-coding RNA. RefSeq lists it as uncharacterized. The record is from RefSeq and is a predicted model, not a curated record. The transcript is spliced from 3 exons. Lineage: Eukaryota; Metazoa; Chordata; Actinopteri; Cypriniformes; Cyprinidae.
AAUCUGCUUGAAUAAUAACAUACUACAUCAUAUAGGCAAGCUGUUUUUGCGUGGUAGACACUCACUUUCCACUGCGUACAGUGACUCUACAGUCAGUUUUACCCCCACCGUAAGCUCACGCAUGCUGCUUCAUCAGCUCACGCACAGCACGACGGUGGUAGCGUGCUCAUUCUAGCAUGUCUCGAUGACUUAUCCUAAUCCUUAUGUCUUAGGCAAAUACCAAUAGCUGAAUCAAUCUCCAGUGUAAAGGCAUUCCCCUUGUUUCUCCUCUUUUUUUUUUUUUGCUCGAAUUUUAAUGAAGACAAGGGAGGAGAUCCAAUCAGAAGGUGGGAGAGACCACUCGCAGGCAGACGGAGGGUGUCGGUGAUGGUAUAGAUGGAGAGCGCUCCUGGCUUCCUCUCUCCCUCCCCUCUUCCCGUUCCCCCUCUCGUCAGCACUCUCCUGUGGGUGGUACGACCUGGCAGAUUACAAAACACCCCUCCCAUGUGUCUCUCUACUCUCUGUGCCAGGGUGAGGCUACCGAUCUCAUUCUCCUGGAGCGUGUGAGUGUGUGAGUGGAGUUAGAAAGCAGGGAUGGAGAAAGAGACGUAGUUAACAAGAGUAAGAGGAAGGAGGUAUGAAUGAGAGUGUGUGUGAGAUUAGAGCUGGGAAGCUCGUGGAAGCGACAGGACACAAGCAACACUACUGUCUGCAAAGAUCAAGAGGGUAUCCGAGGGCAGUCAGAAUGGUGCUUCCUGAAUUAUGUUACACAAUACUCUCUAAAUGAUGGAUCCUCAGAGAGGAAGACGGUGACAGAUGAUGUGUUCAGACGGCGAUGAUGGGGCAGGGCAGCUGGUGUUGUGAAUCAGGCCGCCGUGGUGAAAGGGUACGGCUUCUUCACAACACCAGGGUCUCACCUCAUCACACACAACGACACCAUUCACACCCUCACACAUCAACCUGUCAGUUGACCCAGUGAGAGGACGCAGCUUUCCCAUCAUAUGUCAUAAAAAUGAACCUGUGUCUGCUGAUGACUGAUGAAGACGCAUGGAGAAGAGACGCUGUAUAUGUUCUGCUCUGAACUUACAGAGGAUUCAGUUCAUUUGUGUGGUUGCGUAUUUUAUAGUAAUUCAAAUAAUUAAAUUGCAGUGACUGUUGAUAUUAAUAACAUAAAUGUAAUAUCAUUGAGAAAUAAGAAUUGCACUUGAAUAGCCAAGGUAAAAUCUAAUAUCUUGUCAUAUGAUUUUUAAAACAUAUUUUUUUUAUGCAGCAGAAGAAUAUUGGAACUUAAAAUGUAUAAUGAUAAAAAUGUAAAUAAAAAUGGUAUAAUAAACAACACAAAAAAAGUAUAAUAAA